UGAUACAGAGACUGUUGGCCAUUUCUGAAACCAAUUAAAAAGAUGGGGUCUUCAGAACUACUAGCAGAUAAUUUGGGGGGACUUCAUAUUCAGAAGUCUAUAUAAAGGAUUCCUCAUGUCCAUAACAUGUUGGAUGAGGCUCUGCAGCUCACCCCCACUCUCAGAGUGGUCAGUCUCCAUUAAUUGGACCCCGUGAUUUCCAAUCUCUGCUGUGUUGGACGUCAUGAGCAUUGCAAUCCCUCUGGGAGUCACCACACCAGAUACAUCCUACUCAGAUAUGGCUGCUGGAUCAG
RNAcentral lists this small RNA (293 nucleotides) under Pan troglodytes (chimpanzee). Its description in RNAcentral is "processed transcript". Lineage: Eukaryota; Metazoa; Chordata; Mammalia; Primates; Hominidae. The record is from RNAcentral.